UGGCAUAAGCAUUCAUUUAAUCUAUAAGAGUGAGAAAGAGGAACUCCAUAUUUGGAGAACAAUACAGUGAACAAUGCUUAUAAUGGUACCACAGAGAACCUGAACAUCUUUCCAAUUUCAGAAAAGUUUCUAACAAAGGGGCUUCAAUCUGCAUGCCUGAUCUUUAUCAUGUGCUCUACUUAAGAUAAGGACAAAUUUUAUACUAUUAACCAUCAACAAGAAACAUUAGGCAGAAAAAAAUCAUACUUAUCCCAAAAUACAUCAAACACAUAACCACUAUAGACCAGAUGCUGAACAAGGUAAAUAAAAUAGAAAAAAAGAUUUGUAAUACUAAGAUGGGAGCUGGAAUAAAAAAUAAAAAGUAUGUUGAGUGACAGCAGGGCAGAAGAGGUCUUUCAGCAACGGAAAGUAGCAACAUGCUUGGUGUUUCAUAUAAUGUAAACGGCGGUAAAGAAGUUUGUGAGCAGCAGUUUGUUGGCAGCCAGGAAUAUCCCUAUGAGUCACACACACACAAAUCCUGGGGGACACGUGUUCCUUCACAGCCACAGAGCCUUACAACUUAGACAGCAGACGACACUCAAGCUAAGCCACACUUGCGACAGAAAUAUACAGCUGAUUCAUGAUGAGGUGUGCCCUAACUAUUUCAAGUUUUUGUAUAGGGACUGAAGAAAACAACAAAACCCUAUGCAGGAAAGCCAAUUACCAGGCCACAAUUUGAAAAGAACACUGUCCGAAUGCAAAUCCCUGGAACACAUUCAACAACAGCACAAACAGUUACAGAAGGAUGUAGAAGGAAGUGGUAGUGUCUACUUCUCAUC
Non-coding RNA from Zootermopsis nevadensis, 818 nucleotides. NCBI's taxonomy places the organism in Eukaryota, Metazoa, Arthropoda, Insecta, Blattodea, Termopsidae. The record is from RefSeq and is a predicted model, not a curated record.